GAUGAACGCUGGCGGCGUGCCUAACACAUGCAAGUCGAGCGAUCUCUUCGGAGAGAGCGGCGGACGGGUGAGUAACGCGUGGGUAACCUGCCCUGUACACACGGAUAACAUACCGAAAGGUAUGCUAAUACGGGGUAAUAAAUAAAAGUCGCAUGGUUUUUAUAUCAAAGAUUUGUCGGUAAAGGAUGGGACUGCGUCUGAUUAGUUAGUUGGUAAGGUAACGGCUUACCAAGGCGACGAUCAGAAGCCGACCUGUGAGAGUGAUCGGCCACACUGAAACUGAGACACGGUCCAAACUCCUACGGGAGGCAGAAGUGUGGAAUAUUGCACAAUGGGCGAAAGCCUGAUGCAGCAACGCCGCGUGAGCGAUGAAGGCCUUCGGGUCGUAAAGCUCUGUCCUCAAGGAAGAUAAUGACGGUACUUGAGGAGGAAGCCCCGGCUAACUACGUGCCAGCCGCCGCAGUAA
RNAcentral lists this ribosomal RNA (466 nucleotides) under uncultured bacterium. Its description in RNAcentral is "partial 16S ribosomal RNA". It matches the Rfam family "Bacterial small subunit ribosomal RNA", at positions 28 to 523 of the family's 1533-position model. The record is from RNAcentral.